AAAUAAAAUAGUAAAUAAAAAACAUGCCUACUUUAGAAGAAACUGCUCAUCAUUGUCCUAAUUUUUAUAAUUGAUUUCUUUUUUUUUUUUAGAAUUUUAAAAACUAAUCACACUUCAUAGUAAAAAAAACAAAAUGAAAUGAAAUUAUUCACACACAGUGUGUGCAGGCAUCUACUAGUAUACAUGUAACAAAACCUAAGUCAUACAGUAUACCUUCGAACUUGUUGUCGUCAAGGUAUAUGCCCUUCACCAUUGUUAAGUUGCCUAUUUCUCUGGGUAUGCUACCUGUUAAAUAUGUGCAUGCAUUCCAACAAAAAAGAAGGAAAAAAAAAAACCAACGAGAUGAUUGUUAUACAUCUUAUAUAUAGAUGUUAAAAUGAAACAAAUAUAUCAAAAUGUAAUGAUGAAGCAAGCAAUCAUUAAUGAGAGGGAGAGAGAGGGGGAAGGGCUCCAAAUCCCGCGUUUUCUGUCCCAGAUUUUUAUGCUCCGAAAAUGUCCUCCCACACACCGUUUCAUUUCCAUGUCGUGAUUUCAGUUUAUUUACAAGACUGCCACUCAAUGCUUUCGGCCAAAUUUCACUUUAUUUACAAAAAAUGCCACUCAGGCUUAAGGCCCGAUUUUCAGCCGCUGCAUCUCAGGUUUGACUCGGGGAGAGAGGGGAAGGGGACAUAACAGCUGACAAAUUGGAGAGAGAUGAUCGCUCCCAUUUUUCACUCGGAGACAGCUGGGUGUGGCUGUGGCUGUGGCGAGAGGAGAGGAGGGGGACGGAGGGACUGGAGAGGAUGGGGACAGAGGGAUAGAGCUUCGGCUUCGGUUUGAUGAGAGGGAGAGAGAGCCUGCGGCUUUCAGAAUCACGAUGAUAGAAGAAGAAGCUCAGAAGUCUGAUACGCCAAGUUGGAGAAACCCUAAAAACCAGAGAAGAAGAAGAAGCUCAGAAAUCGGGUGAGGAUGUUGACAAAUCAGCAAGCCCAGUUUCAGGCGACUCUGCAAAACCAACAACCUGACCUCCGACGAGAGGAGAUUUGUCAGAUUCGAGCCGAACCGAGGCUGUCGUCGACUGAGAGAACAUCAUCAAUCCCGACUUUUGGAUCGACUCCCUCUACCAAGGAAGAAAAUAUCGGUAGUCCGAAAACACGGAAAUAUCGAUGGAAAUAUCGGGAUAAUAUCGAUAUCGAUAAAAAUUACAUGGAAACCACGGAAAUUGUAAGAAAAACUUGGAAAUUUUUAUUGAAACUUUGCAGGAUGUUUAUUUAGUCAAUUAUCUAUUAGUUUAUCACAAAAAAUUGGAAGGAAAUGCAUUGCAUGAUGGAUUUAACAUUAUCAAGUUGAUUAUAUAGCGAGCUGACAAACAUUGUGACUAUAGAAAAUAUGUAGAAAUUAAUGAAAGAAGUCUAAACACACCAUAAUCAUUUAUAUAUAAUGAAUUAGUACAAUAUUUUACACUUUAUACAUUGCAUGGUAAGAUACAUGAGUGGCUUAGUACCACAUAGAGUUCCUAUGAGGUUCAAAAUUUUCAAUAUCUUCAUCAUCUCUAUGUGUAGAGUAAGUGUAUUUUGAAGAGUAGUUACCAACUAUGGCAAUGGUUUUCAAGAACCAAAACCCAAAAGUCAAUAGGAAACCGAAUACUUCGGUAUUUUUCGGGAUUACCAAACAAAUGGGAUUUGGAAACCAAUCCCAUAUCGAAAAUUUCGGUAUUUUUCGGGAUGGGAUUCCCGAACUUCAGGAUGGUUUUGGUUUGGGAUUUUUCGGUUUAAGUUUGGGACUUUUUCGGUUUGGUUUGGGAUUUUCCGGAAUUUUUUCCAGCCCUUGACCAAAUAAAAAAUAGAAAAAUUAAAAACCACUUGCCAUUGACUAAGUAAUUAAUUGACACAAUUUAAAAUAUAAUACCACAAAAAAUUUGGAAUAUGUGCAAAUUUGUUUCUUGUAAAAAUAAACCAUAUAUAUAAAUAUUGUAGCUUAUUAUCAUAACAACAUAAGUGGUACAGUGGUUAAGGCCUUAAGAAGUUAAGGGGGAGGGGUUCGAACCCCUUUAUGCUCAAAACCGAGUCUUUUCCAAAUUUUAAGGAAUUUUUGGACUAAUAUCGCGAUAUUUUGACGAAAACUCAUUGGAUACUCCUUAAAAUAUCGGUAAGUCAAAAAAAACGAAAAUAUCGGCGAUAUUUCGCCGAUAUUUUCGAUAUUUAAAUCCAUGCCCUCUACCUCCUCCCUGUCCGCGACUCCUGCUCCGUCUCUCUUCUUGCGAGUUCGCUUGGGUUCUGCUCCCCAGCUAUUUCAAGCACAAAAACUUCUCCAGUUUCAUUCGUCAGCUCAUACAUAUGUAAGCUCUUCGCCUCUUAAUAUUUUGAUUUAGGCAAAUUGCCAAGGACAAAUCAAUCAUUUUCUGAAGACCCCCAAUGCUAUCGGGAAUGUUUCCGGAGAAAUGGUUAUUUGACAAGUCCAUAUUCAGCACAUCUUUCAACUUUCCGAUGUCUUCCGAGAGUGGUCCAACUAGAGAAUUGGAUGACAAGUUUAGGUCCAAUAUAUACUUGAGUUCCCACAAGGAAGAUGGUAUUUUUGAAGUUAACAAAUUGGACCCUAACCAUAGAAAUCUUAGAGCUACUGCCAAAGUACCCAAGCAGGAAGGAAUAGAACCAAAGAGCCGAUUACCAGCCAAAGCUAAAUAGGCUAGGUUGUUUAGUUGACAGAGUUCAUACGGGAUAUGCCCUUGCAGUUCGUUAUCAUACAAAUACAAAACUUGGAGAUUUUGUAGCCUUUGUAUUGAAGUUGGAAUUGCUCCACUCAACUGAUUGGUUCCCAGGUCUAGUAAUAUCAAGCUGCUCAAGUUGCCAAUUUCUACUGGAAUGUUGCCCCUGAUGUUGGAACGGAAUAAACUCACAUAUAGGAGUGACGUAGAGAGAUUCCUGCGAGAAGCUGGAAUCGUGGUGUUUAGUGGAUUGUCUCCCAAGAAUAACCUUGUCAAAUUUCUAAGAUUAAACAAGCAAGAGAGAGUGCUUGCUGCUUGUGGAGUAGAAGCAUCAAUUGUCAAAUUAUUCGAGUACAAUAAAAGAUACUCAAGGUUUUUCAAGGAACAGAGCGUGCUAGGAAGAAACCCGGAAAAUGAGUUUUCGCUCAUGACUAGCACCCUGAGCUUGGAAGCAUUGGAGAAGUUAGGGAGUAGUCCACCCACGAGGUUAGUUCUGGCUACAGUAAAGAAUUCUAGGUUUGGAGCGUUAAGACCGAUGUUUGCUGGGAGGCUACCUGAGACCUGAUUGAAAGAAAGCCUUAUUAUUUUUAUCAUGGAGAGAUUGAAGAGUUUGGAUGGGAUGACGCCACUGAGAUUAUUAAAUUGCAGUCCCAAAAUCUCUAACUGCGGAAGAUCACCAAUCUUAUCCGGUAUUGUACCUGUAACAAUUUCAGAACGUUUGUAUUAAAUUUGUAACUUCAGUUUAACUAAAAACUAAAAAACAAAUUGAUUAUAAAAUGCCCCCAAAUUUAUUACCUGUUAAAUGAUUCUCACCAAGACGAAUAUCGGUUAAGUAGGUCAAAUUGCCAAGACUUUUGGGUAUGCUUCCACGGAAAUUGUUAGAGUAUAAUGAGAUUUCACGAAGCUCUUUGCGUUGCCACAGUUUGGAGGGAAUCAGACCGCCAAGCUGGUUUCGACCCAAAUCAAAUAUUCGAAUACUCGAAAGAUGCUCACAUAUAUUGUCCGGAAGACUGCCACUCAUGUUGUUUCCGUAUAGAGUCAAAAAAGUCAAAGAAGAUAUGUUGAAGACAGGUACAAGAGCAUAGGCUUUUAGGGCAUUGGACUGCACAAACAACUCCUCCAGUUGAACUAAACUGCCCAUCUCGUUCGGAAGUUCUAUAAAUCAAUCCGUAUAUAUUGUUAAAAUCAUGUAAACAUAUAUAGGAGUAGCUUCUUACUGGGAAUCCCGUUCUACCGUAGCAAAAGUGGGAUAACAUUAUAAGGACCAUGUGCUCACUAUAUAGGUUCUCUUUUUGCUCUAGAAUAUUAGGGUCUUACACAUUAAAUAUACGAUUCCUAUGAUAGUCCUCUCAUUCCAUUUUUGCUAAAGUGGAACAAGAUUCCUGCUAAGAAGGGGUUCGUAUCUAAACUACCUAGUACCUAUUAAUAGAACUCUGAAUAGAACUCUGCUCUCAACCAAAACUACAUAAAAUUGCAAUUUUAACCCUCACACCAAAACUGCACAAAAAUAAAAUAUAUGGGCAAUUUAGUAAUUACAUGAACAUAAAUUUUGUUAUUAUUUACGACAACCUCACAGCCAGGUCAAUAUGGCAUGCCCUAUUUAAAAAUUAAAAAUAAAAUAAAAUAGUAAAUAAAAAACAUGUCUGCUUUAGAAGAAACUGCUCAUCAUUGUCCCAAUUUUUAUAAUUGAUAUCUUUUUUUUUUAGAAUUUUAAAAACUAAUCACACUUCAUAGUAAAAAAAACAAAAUGAAAUGAAAUUAUUCACACAGUGUGUGUGUAGGUAUCUGCUAGUAUACAUGUAACAAAACCUAAGUCAUACAGUAUACCUUCGAACUUGUUGUCGUCAAGGUAUAUGCCCUUCACCAUUGUUAAGUUGCCUAUUUCUCUGGGUAUGCUACCUGUUAAAUAUGUGCAUGCAUUCCAACAAAAAU
This 4615-nucleotide long non-coding RNA is filed under the name Malus domestica (apple). RNAcentral describes it as "long non-coding RNA (MDOM_LNC007105)". Lineage: Eukaryota; Viridiplantae; Streptophyta; Magnoliopsida; Rosales; Rosaceae. The record is from RNAcentral.